This 96-nucleotide ribosomal RNA is filed under the name Acanthosepion pharaonis. Lineage: Eukaryota; Metazoa; Mollusca; Cephalopoda; Sepiida; Sepiidae. The record is from RNAcentral.
UUGAAACAUCGGUUUUCGUACGAUCACCGAAGUUAAGCAACGUCGAUUCUGGUCAGUAUCUAGAUGGGUGACUGCUUGGGAAUAACCAGUGUUGCG